GAUGAACGCUAGCGGCAGGCCUAACACAUGCAAGUCGAGGGGCAGCACAGAAACAGCAAUGUUUUGGUGGCGACCGGCGGACGGGUGCGUAACGCGUAUGCAACCUACCUUUAACAGGGGGAUAACGGAGAGAGAUUUCCACUAAUACCCCAUAACAUCGAUCAAGGCAUCUUGAUUGGUUGAAAACUCCGGUGGUUAUAGAUGGGCAUGCGUUGUAUUAGGUAGUUGGUGAGGUAAUGGCUCACCAAGCCUACGAUACAUAGGGGGACUGAGAGGUUAGCCCCCCACACUGGUACUGAGACACGGACCAGACUCCUACGGGAGGCAGCAGUGAGGAAUAUUGGUCAAUGGGGGCAACCCUGAACCAGCCAUGCCGCGUGCAGGAAGACGGCUCUAUGAGUUGUAAACUGCUUUUAAACAGGGAUAAAGCACAGUAUGUAUACUGUGUUGAAGGUACUGUAAGAAUAAGGAUCGGCUAACUCCGUGCCAGCCGCCGCGGUAA
Molecule: ribosomal RNA, 502 nt
Filed under: uncultured bacterium
Lineage: Bacteria
Description: partial 16S ribosomal RNA
Rfam family: Bacterial small subunit ribosomal RNA
Source: RNAcentral